GUGCGGAUGGCCGAGUGGUCUAAGGCGGUGGUUUUAGGCACCAUUCUUCAUUGGCGUGGGUUCAAAUCCCACUCCGCACA
This is a transfer RNA of Phaeodactylum tricornutum CCAP 1055/1, 80 nucleotides long. It matches the Rfam family "tRNA". Rfam says of the family: Transfer RNA (tRNA) molecules are approximately 80 nucleotides in length. Their secondary structure includes four short double-helical elements and three loops (D, anti-codon, and T loops). The record is from Rfam. NCBI's taxonomy places the organism in Eukaryota, Bacillariophyta, Bacillariophyceae, Surirellales, Neidiaceae.